RNAcentral lists this long non-coding RNA (1338 nucleotides) under Cyanistes caeruleus (blue tit). RNAcentral describes it as "lncRNA (ENSCCEG00000020363.1)". The record is from RNAcentral. Lineage: Eukaryota; Metazoa; Chordata; Aves; Passeriformes; Paridae.
GGUAAAUCAUUCCCAUUGGCAUUCUCAUGGGGCCUCAGGAAGGGUUGUCAGCAGAUUAUCCAGUUUAAUACCUCCUCCAGACCCCCUGUCACAUCCUGCACUUCCCCAGAACUCAAUGCCACUAAGGUUCUGUUGUCUCCCAGUCCUGUAUUGAACCUGGGGGUGAGUCAGCUCCCUGGGGCAGGUACAUUCCGUUCUGGCAGUGGCAGCCUGUUCAGGCAUUGCCUCUGUGAGCUGAGAGGACUUGCAGUCUUGUUUGUGGGGCUGGCACAGCACCUGCCCUCCCCUUCGGGCGGGUACAGCCUUUGCAUAAAGGAUGAGGAGGCUGUCAGGACAUUGGCACAACACCUGUGGGUUUUGGCCAAUCUCUCCUCUUCUCUUCAUUAUCUCAAAGCUUGUGGUAUGAUCUCGGUGCAGCAGCCAGGUGUAGGGGACUUCUGGAGAGAAGAGGAAGGAAGGAGGCUGGAGGUGGAUCUGAGAGUUUCUGACACAGGGGAUUGGAACUUCAGGACUUCCAAAUUGACUGACCCAAGAUUCUACCCUUCCACCAAAAGAACUAUCAGCAAGAUGUAAUCCAUUUGUGGACAGGCUCCAGGGGCAAGUAGACUCAUGGUACGUUUUACAGCUGUUUGAACAGACAUCAUUUGUGGGAAAGCAGUGCAGCACUGGCGAUUAUACUGCAGAAUGUGAAAUUGCCCAGGGUUUAUCUGUAAGUUUCAUCAGGUACCAGCACCAGCAGUGUUGAAAGCUGUAGCAGCAGUCCUGGUUGGCAGAAGGUGGCAUAUCAGCUGCUUGCACAUGAUCCAGUGCCAUUUGGAAAAAGCUUGAACCGCUUUCAGUAAAAAUAUCAUGAUUUGGUCUACUCAGGAUAUGCUUCUAGUCAGAGCAGUCAAAGCAGGCAGCUUUAGCACCUUCUGUACAGGAGGCAGUAGGGCUGCAUGAAACAUGGCCUUUGUUCUACAGGAGCGAUGUGUUCUCCAGGGUGUGUUUGUGGCAGCUGUUACUGGAUUUUAACAUCAGGUAGUGGACAAGGAAUUGACCAUUACUGAGACUGUGAACUGCACAAGGGUGCUUGCAGAAGUCAGACCCGAUCUGGAGGUUUCCUGGCACCUUGCUAGUUACCUUUUACUCUAUGUCAAAGCGCACUUCAUUGAAAGAGAGGUAUUGUCUGAAACGUUGCCUUCUCUGGCUGCGUGGCUGUUAAACAUGUGGGUCUUGAGACGCUUAAUACAGCUGGCAUCUUCUGAUGCGGCUUCAGCUGAAACAGUCAUGGGGGAGGGAAGACAGCCCUGCGUGGAAGCUCUUCUCGCUGGUACCGGGGCUGCAGAGGGGAGCUCC